RNAcentral lists this unclassified non-coding RNA (146 nucleotides) under soil metagenome. Its description in RNAcentral is "partial internal transcribed spacer 1". The record is from RNAcentral.
UAAUAAGUGUUUUAUAGGCACUUUUUAAAUCCAUAUCCACCUUGUGUGCAAUGUCAGUCGAUCUUCUUCAUGGAGACUGACCAAACAUCAACCUUUAUCUUUUAACUCUUUGUCUGAAAAAUAUUAUGAAUAAACAAUUCAAAAUA